AUGCGCUCCUGCGACUCACCCACCCGCCGCAACUACACCGCCACCGAUCCCCUUCCCGCCGUCGCCCUCAAUCAUGCCGCCGCGUCUCCGUGGAUCGGAGCGGCAGGCGCCGCCUUCCCGCGCGCCUAUACUGCAAGAGGUGGGGUUUCCCCUUUCCUUUGUGUACGAAGCCUUCCUGGAAGCGCUGCGCCUGAUCUGCUCGGUACCAGACGAGAGGCUGCGAGCAACGAGGGAGCAGAGGUGGAUGGAGCGGUUGAAGCGGAUCAGCGACGACUCCUUCUCGUGGAUGCAGUGCGAGAAGGAAUGGAGGGAUGCGAUGGAAGGUGCGCAGGCGGAAUCAGAUCCAGAUCUCAACCUCUUGAAGGAGAGGUACGUUCAAACUUGUCGGAUCCAAGCAGAUCGAGAGAUGAUGAAUCUGUCAAGGAGGAUCUACUUCGAGGGGUCACCGGAGGAGCGAGCUCGGAUGCUGCCGGUCCCCACAUCACCGGCGAUUGCGACAAUCCAGUGGGCAAAAGGGAAGGGGCGCUCGACAGACCCGCGAAGGAAGCGAAGAUGGAUUUCUCUGAUUGGGCGUCAACCAACAAGUGUUCCUCCGCCGCCGGAGGCAGUGGAUCCUCUCCCAUAUUUGUCGCCGGAAUUCUGAAUCAGUCUGAAGGUGAAUACAGGAGCAAAGCGGGGAGGGAGAUGGAGACAGAGGAUGAACUUGACACUUCCGAUCCAGGUGGAAAACUUAGGGUGUGCAGAAGUGAGAAGAGAGAUAAGUCAAGAGAAAAUCAAAUUGGGGGCGGAUUUUGGGUUCUAGAGCAAAGUGAUGAAGAAGAAGAAGGGGAAGUUGUUUCUGAAGAAGUUCAGAGAAAUCCAUACCUGGCCACUAUUGCUGAUGCUUUUGUUUGUGGCAAGAGAGGAAGAACCAGGAAAAACAGAGGUGCAAAGAUUGGGAGAGGAAGCGAAGACAGGGAGUCAACAUUGGUGAAGUCAAGUAACAAUUGA
This 990-nucleotide ribosomal RNA is filed under the name Triticum aestivum (bread wheat). RNAcentral's name for it is "partial small subunit ribosomal RNA". The record is from RNAcentral. Lineage: Eukaryota; Viridiplantae; Streptophyta; Magnoliopsida; Poales; Poaceae.